AAGGAACUUUGUUUUUUUCCCUUGCUGUAUUUCCAGUGCCCAGAGCAGUGCCUAACACAUAGUAGGAGCUCAAUAAAUAUUGACUAAGUGAAUGAGAAAGCAAGCACACAUUGUGCCAGGCCCCAGUCUUCUAUGGGAACACUAGGCCAGAUGCCAUCCUGGAAGUCCUUUUGUCUUAAGUCUCUUAAGGCUCUUAAGUCCUUAAGUCUGUUUACUCUCGCCGGUGCUGAACUUGGUACCCUCUACUCUCUGCCCCAAGCUGACUUUUCCAAGAGAAGAAUUUGUAAAGUGACUUCACUGAUUUACAUCAUGACUCUGCAGUACUGGCCUGAAACCAUGGAGGGCAGAAGAAAACAGAACAAUUUUUUUUAAUUGCUUAAAGAAAAGAGUUGUCAACCAGGAUUUUGUACCCAGCAAAAAUAUCCUUCAGAAAUGAAAGUGAAAUAAACACAUUCUCCAAUUAAGGAAAAUGAAGAUAAUCCAUUGCCAGCACACUUGCUCUAAAAGAACUACUGAAUUAAGUUCUUCAGACAAAAGGGACAUUACAUUAGAAAGAAAUUUGGAACAUCAAGAAGGAAGGAGAACAAAAAUGCCUACUCAGUGUGAAGACCAUGAAGAUGAAGACCUUUAUGUUGAUCCACUUCCACUUAAUGAAUAGAAAAUAUAUUUAUCUUCCUUAUGAUUUUCUUAAUAACAUUUUCUUUUCUCUAGCUUGC
Molecule: long non-coding RNA, 716 nt
Filed under: Homo sapiens (human)
Lineage: Eukaryota; Metazoa; Chordata; Mammalia; Primates; Hominidae
Description: HSALNT0263350
Source: RNAcentral